AGAACAGCCAAAGCCAUGGUGGGCGGGGUUAGAGCGGAGGUGGGCGGGGACUGGGCGGGCUACCUAGGCUUGAAGUCUGGGGCCCCUGGAAUUGGAAGACGCAGUAGAGAAGUGACGAAGUGUGGGCGCAGCUCUAGGCAGGCUCUUCCCCGUCUGCUCAGUCCUGACUUUCGUGGGGUGACCCCCAAGCCCACCAGCCCAGAUGGGCCUCAGGCAACUUCCUCCUCCUUGCUGGUCUCUGUGCCCAAUGUUGACAGGUCAGGCCCUCAUGGCCCAAGUACAAGCAGGAAUCCAAAGUUCCACAGAUGGAAGAAUGCCUUCCAGUGGAUGUCUGCUCGGGUCUCCCCGCACACCUUGUGGGAUGCCGUCUCAUGGGGUACCCUGGCCGUGCUGGCCUUGCAGGUGGCGAGACAACUCCACUUCCAGGCGUUGCUGUCCAGAAGGCCUCGGCAGGCAGAGCACCGCUCUUGGCGCAGUCCCCUGGACCGUUUCCUCUCGUCUCCCUGGUGGCACCCGCCCUCCUCACUGCGGAGGCACGUUCUCCCUGGCCCCGAUGGCCUAGCCCCCAGGCACGUUGGCUUUCGGGAACCCAGGCUGGACCCAGAAGAGCCUGGGAACUUCUCUGUCAGCUCCUCCAGAGCAGCUGAUCCUCAGGAGCCUCUUGAGGAAGGCUUUCCCUUUGCAGAUCUCACUAAUUUCAAAUUCCUGAAUGCCAGCGGGAGCUUUGAGUCCAAGCCAACACCAGCUCAGCCUCAGCACCCUGGUGAAAAGAAGGAACAAGAUAAAUCAAAAACUCUUUCCCUUGAGGAGGCCGUGGCUUCCCUUCAGCAGCUCUUCCAGCUCAGCGUUUCCAUUGCUUUCAACUUCCUGGGGACGGAGAACAUGAGGAACAGGGACUACGUAGCAGCCUUUGCUUACUUCCAGAAAGCUGCAGACCGUGGUUACAGCAAAGCACAGUACAACGUGGGCUUGUGUCACGAGCAUGGCAGGGGCACCCACAGAGACCUCCACAAGGCAAUCUUUUAUUACCAGUUGGCUGCCAGCCAGGGCCACAGCCUGGCUCAGUACCGCUAUGCCAGGUGUCUACUGCAAGCCCCAGCCUCCUCAGGGGACCCUGAGCGACAGAGAGCACUGUCCAUGCUGAAGCAGGCUGCAGACUCAGGCCUGACAGAGGCCCAAGCUUUCCUCGGGGUGCUUUUCACCAAGGAGCCAUACCUGGAUGAGCACAGAGCUGUGAAGUAUCUGUGGCUUGCAGCCAGCAAUGGGGACUCACAGAGCAGAUACCACUUGGGAAUUUGCUAUGAGAAGGGCCUUGGUGUGCAGAGGAACCUGGGAGAGGCUGUGAGGUGUUACCAGCAGUCAGCAGCUCUGGGAAAUGAGCCUGCCCAGCAGAGGCUGCGGACCCUCCUCUCCACAGGGGCAGCAGCUCUUAGGCCCAGCCACCUGACAGUUACAGGACUGAAGUCUUUCUCCAGCCCUUCCCUCUGCAGACUGAACUCCCUGCUGGCUGGCGCCUCAGACCUGCCUCAUGCGUGGAGCACGGGGAACCUCAACUGCCCGUGCAGAAGCCCACAUCUCGGAGGCAGCCGGGGAACCCGCAGCAGCGCUGUCCCCAACUUGGAAAGAAGUCUUGUAAGACUGGGUUUUGGAUAAGCCUUACAGGUAGGCCUGGGUGCAUUCUCAGCUAUUUCUGGUCCAUGCACCGAAAGGGUUUAUUGAGUGGCCUCUGGAAAACUGCAGGAAGAAGGGAGCUGCUUCCCUGAAUGCUGCACUGUCUGCUUGACUCUUUCAGACCUCGCCUCAGCCCUGAUGAUGGAGCCUCCGAGUUCUCAGACCAUCAUGACUUGAAUCCCGAAGAUGCCAGUUAUCUAUUCGUUGUCCCCAAACCCUCGAACCCUCCCCAGCACUGUGAAGAGGAGGGAAUAUGUGCAGAUCUGGUUCUGGCUCCACCGCCUGCCUGACCAUGUCACCUUGCAGCGGUGAUCUGAUUCGCUAAUACCGUUUCCUCAGUUGUAGACCAAGGGCAUGGUGUGUGCCCUCCUUCCUCCAUGGGGCCGAUGCUGGGCAUUGCACUGCUAAAAGGACCCCGGUGUUUGCUUAGGCUCUCAGAGGCAGAGUGAUGCUCACAAUUACGCAGCCUCGUGAAACUCGAAAGCAGGAUGAGGACCCGGGCCUCCCGGCUCCUGGCCCUGACUGCUGUUCUGCAGUUCAUGCUGCCAUUCUGUGUGAAAGCGUCCUUGUCAUCCUGCGAUACGAGGGAGGAAACAGAGAUUGGACACCUGGAGUCUCAGAGCUGGAGAGUAUAGAUUGCGAGUCCUCCCUGAAGAAAGGUGAGCCAGAAGUAUAUGGGCAUUUAAUAAAAUAGCUCGUGGAUUAUCUCAUCACUCUUGCCCUUGAGUGUGUUGGUGAGAGCCAGGGAGACAAGACGGAGGGCUGAAAGGCAAGGCUCCAUCCUCAUCUCUGAACUCUACAUUAACCAAUUAAAGGGUCUUAAAAGCUUCUCCAGGAGAGAGACUUAGGGAAAAAAAAUGAUUUCUGAGUCAACGCUAAUGACUCCAAUUACUGAAUUUGUGAAUAGCUGUUCCCUGCUUCUGGAUGUUAGCCCAAGUUCAGUACAUAGAUACGGUAGAGGGGAGGGGCUGAGGCCUGGCUCCUCCAGUGACUGCAAGGAAGAACCAGUUGGCUUGGCCAGUACAGAGGAGGGAGGCUUUGGGGAGAAUGUUACCCACCUUCCCCCUCUGCUGUCAACCCUCACCUCCCAGUCUCCUAAGAGUUGCAUUCUGCACUUUUGUGAAACCUCGCUCGCCAGCAGAGCCCCCCACCCAUCUUGGCCCCUCCCAGGCUGCCCUGCACACUGCUCUCACUCAUCCCCUCGUGUGGCCACCUCCCGCACUGGUGUACUUGGUAGCAGGGCCCCAUCUUUGUGUUGCAGCAUCUCAGCAUCUGGCAGUGUUCUGUACAGUGCAGCGGCUCAGUGCUGUUUUAAGCCUUGUAGUGCACUAAUAUCUCAGCCAAAAAAAAAAAAAAAAAAUUUCUGUGGUCAAAUAAGUUUGGGAAACACUGCACUAGACAUCCCCUUUUUAUAGAUUCACAGUACACAUCAGCAUAUUCCAGGUUCCAAGAAGUCCUGCGGUGAAAACACAGUUAACCCAGUGUGUGCCUCACUGGUCUGAGACAGAGCCUGCCUCUUUCCUGGGUACCCUCGGAAAUAUCACCACUUUCUCUCCUGGUGAUGCCACACUUACCAGUCGCCUUUUCACCUGGGGCAUUUGGGGCCCUGAUUGCCCACCCUUGGGACCACACAUGCCGCAGAGGGCAGACCUGGUAGUCUGUGGGGAUGGCCCUGUGCCGCCCUCCCUCCAUGCAGACCCUAGAAGUUAAAUGUGGCUUCCAUAUGGGGAACCUGAGGUACAGUGGGGUAGUUCUGUGCUCUCCAAGCCGAAAAGGAAGAACCUCUCCUGGUGGAGAGGGAAGGGUGGAAGCUGAAGAGACGUCAGGGAUGAAACACCCGUGGCUGUGCAGUCAUUGUGGGCUUGCUUCAGCCCCAGGAGACACUUUGUGGGCAGCCUGGGGAACUGCUGUGCAUCUGCCAUUAAAAUGAUUGUAUUAACGACUUGUCACAGUGCCUUGUGGGGAAAUGUGGGAGGAGGACAGAAGGUGGCCCCACUUCAGACCAGUGUGGCUCAGAGUUGUGGUGGACUAAGGAUCAGGGCCUGGGGCCUUUAUUCAUGAGACCUUUGAGCAAAACUCUGCUGCCUUGGUUUCCCUGUGUGGAGAUGUUCUUUCCAGGGAUCCCUGACACUAUGUUCGGAACAAAGCCAUUUGAUUUGUUGGAUCUUCCAGGCCAGUACAGUGCAGGGCACUUAGCAGAUAUUCAGGAAAUAGUUAUUUAACAAGCGAGAGUGAUUAUUUGCACUGCAGUGCUACCUAAUGCCCAGUACAAACCUACCCAGAAUAGGCCGGGGAUAUAGCUCAGAGGCAUAGCAUCUGCCUGGCAAGUACAAGGUUGUGAAUUUGACCCCUGGUACCAAAAAAAAAAAAAAAAAAAAAAAAAGACAAAAAGCAAAAAACAAAACCUACGCAAAACUAGUAAGUGUUUUAAAUGUUGAAUGGAUGACUCCAAAACCCCUCUUCCCCUAACUGUUGAUCCUUGUACUUUGUACUUUCUGGCACUUAGCAAUUGUUCAAUAAAUAAACAUGAAAUGUUUAUUGAAUGAA
This is an RNA transcript of Cavia porcellus (domestic guinea pig), 4218 nucleotides long. It is a transcript of the gene named DAP3 binding cell death enhancer 1, with no coding region annotated. The record is from RefSeq and is a predicted model, not a curated record. Lineage: Eukaryota; Metazoa; Chordata; Mammalia; Rodentia; Caviidae. The transcript is spliced from 14 exons.